GAUAAUGAUUGGAAAAAUGCCCCUUACAUGUAGCUUGUUUAAGGAUCGCUACUCCGGUUGAUUAGUUGCCGAGAAUUGAUGCUCAGCUUGCUCAAGGAGUGGAACUUUUAUCAAUUUUUUAACCAAAGUUUGUAAAGGAUUUUGUUACUAUAUUUAUCACAGGACUAACAGGUAUUCUGCUUGCACAUGUUGCUGAAACAGUGUUCUUAACAGUGCCAUGGGGCGCUUUCCAUCUGGGUUUCUCGAGCAACAGACCCAGAGCCGGGGCGUUGCCGUAGGACAGAUGGGAAGAAAUGGUGGUGCUCAAGAGACACGGUUGUCAGAAGUACUAUGAGCGGCAUAUGAACAGAGACCGUCAUCGUUCAAGAAAGCAUGUGGAAGGCCAAUCUGGCCAUUCUGCUGCUGCUACAACUACAACCAAUACAAAGUCGACACCAAAUGCUACAUUAUGCUCCGUGUCAUCAUCAAUGGUGGGGCUCAAGGGCAGCGGUGCAUCCAACAAUGUCACCAUUGCCCAAAAUCAGCAACAACAGCUUAAGAACUUGCAGCCAGAUGGCUUGUUUAAUCUUUUUGCAGCGACUCCCCUUAACAGAAUGUUCUUUAGUAAAAACAAUUUGGGUGAAAGACUGCAAGAUUCAUCCAGUGAGUCCAUUCUAUCAUCCAGUACUGAUUUGAAAUCUAAAGAAAACUCUUUUUUUUCUUCAAAACAACAUAGCUCAUAUCAGGAGUCUUCACAAAUUGAGUUUGGACACGUCAACUCCGAUAUACGGUCAUGCUAAGAAUUAUAUAUUUCUUUUCUUUUUUAGAGAACUUUAAAGUAUGAGUUUCCAGAAAAAAUUUUGCCGAUGAAAAACAUUUGUACAAUUUUUCACCUAUUUUGUGUUACUUCUGUGAUAUAUAUAGUCAUUUGCAGUAGAUAUAUCAUUUAUCCUAUUGUCGUUCAAAAGGUUCCUCCGAGAAUUCAUGUUCUCUCAAAUGCAAAGGUCGACUCGCCCUUGCGGAAGGUUUGAAACUGAAUUUCAAGCGGCAGUUCAAAAAAUAUGGUGAUGACGAAAUACCCAUUGGAGAGUUGCUUGAAAAACUGAUGAGAGACGCUAAUAGAACUGAGAUAAACUGG
RNA transcript from Mercurialis annua (annual mercury), 1117 nucleotides. It is a transcript of the gene named growth-regulating factor 6-like, with no coding region annotated. The transcript has 5 exons. Lineage: Eukaryota; Viridiplantae; Streptophyta; Magnoliopsida; Malpighiales; Euphorbiaceae. The record is from RefSeq and is a predicted model, not a curated record.